UAGAAAAUCUGAGGCGUCGGGAGUUC
Molecule: non-coding RNA, 26 nt
Filed under: Drosophila melanogaster (fruit fly)
Lineage: Eukaryota; Metazoa; Arthropoda; Insecta; Diptera; Drosophilidae
Source: RNAcentral